This is a transfer RNA of Ovis aries (sheep), 72 nucleotides long. It matches the Rfam family "tRNA". From Rfam's summary of the family: Transfer RNA (tRNA) molecules are approximately 80 nucleotides in length. Their secondary structure includes four short double-helical elements and three loops (D, anti-codon, and T loops). The record is from Rfam. Lineage: Eukaryota; Metazoa; Chordata; Mammalia; Artiodactyla; Bovidae.
UCCCUGGUGGCUCAGAGGUUAAAGCAUCUGCCUCUAAUGCAGGAGACCUGGGUUUGAUCCCUGGGUUGGGAA